AGUGAACGCUGGCGGUAGGCCUAACACAUGCAAGUCGAACGGCAGCACAGUAAGAGCUUGCUCUUACGGGUGGCGAGUGGCGGACGGGUGAGGACUACAUCGGAAUCUACUUUUUCGUGGGGGAUAACGUAGGGAAACUUACGCUAAUACCGCAUACGACCUACGGGUGAAAGCAGGGGAUCUUCGGACCUUGCGCGAUUGAAUGAGCCGCUGUCGGAUUAGCUAGUUGGCGGGGUAAAGGCCCACCAAGGCGACGAUCCGUAGCUGGUCUGAGAGGAUGAUCAGCCACACUGGAACUGGGACACGGUCCCGACUCCUACGGGAGGCAGCAGUGGGGAAUAUUGGACAAUGGGCGCAAGCCUUAUCCAGCCAUACCGCGUGGGUGAAGAAGGCCUUCGGGUUGUAAAGCCCUUUUGUUGGGAAAGAAAAGCAGCAGGUUAAUACCCCGCUGUUCUGACGGUACCCAAAGAAUAAGCACCGGCUAACUUCGUG
RNAcentral lists this ribosomal RNA (492 nucleotides) under uncultured bacterium. RNAcentral describes it as "partial 16S ribosomal RNA". It matches the Rfam family "Bacterial small subunit ribosomal RNA", at positions 29 to 507 of the family's 1533-position model. The record is from RNAcentral.